UAGAGCCAAUUGGGGAUCCAAGCGAGUGUUUAUUGUUGAAGAACAUGUUUGAUCCAAGCGUCCAGGUGGAUCCAGAUUUAUAUAUGGAUGUCAAAGAAGACGUCGAAGAUGAGUGUUCUAAGUUUGGCACCGUGAAACAUAUUUUUGUUGACAAGAACACUGGAUUUGUUUACCUGAGAUUCGACAGUGUGGUGUCGGCAACUGAUUGUCAGCGAGCUAUGAAUAGGAGGUGGUAUGG
This 238-nucleotide unclassified non-coding RNA is filed under the name Hevea brasiliensis (rubber tree). The record is from RNAcentral. Lineage: Eukaryota; Viridiplantae; Streptophyta; Magnoliopsida; Malpighiales; Euphorbiaceae.